RNAcentral lists this unclassified non-coding RNA (352 nucleotides) under soil metagenome. RNAcentral describes it as "partial contains 5.8S ribosomal RNA, internal transcribed spacer 2, and large subunit ribosomal RNA". The stretch from base 1 to 120 matches the Rfam family "5.8S ribosomal RNA", at positions 35 to 154 of the family's 154-position model. The record is from RNAcentral.
GAUGAAGAACGUAGCGAAAUGCGAUAAUUAAUGUGAAUUGCAGAUUUCAGUGAAUCAUCGAGUUUUUGAACGCACAUUGCGCCCGCCAGUAUUCUGGCGGGCAUGCCUGUUCGAGCGUCAUUACAACCCUCAGGCCCCCGGGCCUGGCGUUGGGGAUCGGCGGAGCCCCCCGUGGGCACACGCCGUCCCCCAAAUACAGUGGCGGUCCCGCCGCAGCUUCCAUCGCGUAGUAGCUAACACCUCGCGACUGGAGAGCGGCGCGGCCACGCCGUAAAACACCCAGCUCUUCUGAAGUUGACCUCGAAUCAGGUAGGAAUACCCGCUGAACUUAAGCAUAUCAAUAAGCGGAGGA